Molecule: ribosomal RNA, 254 nt
Filed under: uncultured bacterium
Lineage: Bacteria
Description: partial 16S ribosomal RNA
Rfam family: Bacterial small subunit ribosomal RNA
Source: RNAcentral
UACGGGGGGAGCAAGCGUUGUUCGGAUUUACUGGGCGUAAAGGGCGCGUAGGCGGCCAGCGCAAGUCAGUUGUGAAAUCUCCGGGCUUAACUCGGAAAGGUCAACUGAUACUGCGCGGCUAGAGUGCAGAAGGGGCAACUGGAAUUCUCGGUGUAGCGGUGAAAUGCGUGGAUAUCGAGAGGAACACCUGCGGCGAAGGCGGGUUGCUAGGCUGACACUGACGCUGAUGCGCGAAAGCCAGGGGAGCGAACGGG